Molecule: small nuclear RNA, 107 nt
Filed under: Chrysemys picta bellii (western painted turtle)
Lineage: Eukaryota; Metazoa; Chordata; Testudines; Emydidae
Source: RNAcentral
GUGCUUGCUUCGGCAGCACAUAUACUAAAAUUGGAACGAUACAGAGAAGAUUAGCAUAGCCCCUGUGAAAGGAUGACACACAAAUUUGUGAAGCAUUCCAUAUUUUU